CUAAAAGACAUAGUCGAGAACGGACUUGAAGUGCUGGUCAAUAAGAAUGUUGUAGCUCUUGUUAAAAUGACAUUUGAAAUAUAUGCAACAUGUGUAAUACCUAUAAGUGGCUUCUUUGCAUCAAGUCUUUGGUUUGGCAACACUGCCUAUUUGCACAUAUCUGUGGCUUUU
Long non-coding RNA from Hibiscus syriacus, 171 nucleotides. RefSeq lists it as uncharacterized. The record is from RefSeq and is a predicted model, not a curated record. Lineage: Eukaryota; Viridiplantae; Streptophyta; Magnoliopsida; Malvales; Malvaceae. The transcript is spliced from 4 exons.